CAAUAGCGUAUAUUUAAGUUGUUGCAGUUAAAAAGCUCGUAGUCGGAUUUUGGCUGAGAACGAUCGGUCCGCCGUUAGGUGUGCACUGAUUGGUCUCAGCUUCCUGGUGAGGAGGUGUGCUUCACGGCCACUUAGUCACCGUGGUUACGUUGAAAAAAUUAGAGUGUUCAAAGCGGGCUUACGCUUGAAUAUAUUAGCAUGGAAUAACACCAUAGGACUCCUGUCCUAUUUCGUUGGUCUCGGGACGGGAGUAAUGAUUAAGAGGAACAGUUGGGGGCAUUCGUAUUUCAUUGUCAGAGGUGAAAUUCUUGGAUUUAUGAAAGACGAACUUCUGCGAAAGCAUUUGCCAAGGAUGUUUUCAUUGA
RNAcentral lists this ribosomal RNA (365 nucleotides) under uncultured eukaryote. RNAcentral describes it as "partial 18S ribosomal RNA". It matches the Rfam family "Eukaryotic small subunit ribosomal RNA", at positions 592 to 976 of the family's 1831-position model. The record is from RNAcentral.